AUUGAACGCUGGCGGCAUGCCUUACACAUGCAAGUCGAACGGCAGCACGGGAGCAAUCCUGGUGGCGAGUGGCGAACGGGUGAGUAAUAUAUCGGAACGUGCCCAGUCGUGGGGGAUAACGUAGCGAAAGCUACGCUAAUACCGCAUACGAUCUAUGGAUGAAAGCGGGGGAUCGCAAGACCUCGCGCGAUUGGAGCGGCCGAUAUCAGAUUAGGUAGUUGGUGAGGUAAAGGCUCACCAAGCCGACGAUCUGUAGCUGGUCUGAGAGGACGACCAGCCACACUGGGACUGAGACACGGCCCAGACUCCCACGGGAGGCAGCAGU
This 325-nucleotide ribosomal RNA is filed under the name uncultured bacterium. Its description in RNAcentral is "bacterial SSU rRNA". It matches the Rfam family "Bacterial small subunit ribosomal RNA", at positions 30 to 355 of the family's 1533-position model. The record is from RNAcentral.